This 58-nucleotide small RNA is filed under the name Caenorhabditis elegans. Its description in RNAcentral is "Unclassified non-coding RNA Y39G10AR.31". The record is from RNAcentral. Lineage: Eukaryota; Metazoa; Nematoda; Chromadorea; Rhabditida; Rhabditidae.
AGAGGUUAGGCUUAGGCUUAGGCUUAGCUUUAGCUUUAGCCUUUGGCUUAAGCUUAGG